RNAcentral lists this ribosomal RNA (402 nucleotides) under uncultured bacterium. RNAcentral's name for it is "bacterial SSU rRNA". It matches the Rfam family "Bacterial small subunit ribosomal RNA", at positions 355 to 774 of the family's 1533-position model. The record is from RNAcentral.
UGGGGAAUAUUGCACAAUGGGCGAAAGCCUGAUGCAGCAACGCCGCGUGAGUGAUGAAGGCCUUCGGGUUGUAAAGCUCUGUCUUCUGGGACGAUAAUGACGGUACCAGAGGAGGAAGCCACGGCUAGCUACGUGCCAGCAGCCGCGGUAAUACGUAGGUGGCAAGCGUUGUCCGGAUUUACUGGGCGUAAAGGAUGCGUAGGCGGAUACUUAAGUCGGAUGUGAAAAUCCCUGGCUUAACUUGGGAACUGCAUUUGAAACUGGGUAUCUAGAGUGCGGGAGAGGAAAGUGGAAUUCCGAGUGUAGCGGUUAAAUGCGUAGAUAUUAGGAAGAACACCAGUGGCGAAGGCGACUUUCUGGUCCGUAACUGACGCUGAGGCAUGAAAGCGUGGGGAGCAAACA